GACGAACGCUGGCGGCGUGCUUAACACACGCAAGUCGAGCGGGAAACUUCGGUUUCCAGCGGCGGACGGGUGAGUAACACGUGGGCAACCUGCCUCACAAUGAGGGAUAGCCUUCCGAAAGGAAGAUUAAUACCUCAUAACACAAGAGAGACGCAUGUUUCUCUUGCCAAAGAAUUUCGUUGUGAGAUGGGCCCGCGGCGCAUUAGCUUGUUGGUGAGGUAACGGCUCACCAAGGCUUCGAUGCGUAGCCGACCGGAGAGGGUGAUCGGCCACAUUGGAACUGAGACACGGUCCAGACUCCUACGGGAGGCAGCAGUGGGGAAUAUUGCACAAUGGAGGAAACUCUGAUGCAGCAACGCCGCGUGAGUGAUGAAGGUCUUCGGAUUGUAAAGCUCUGUCUUCUGGGACGAUAAUGACGGUACCAGAGGAGGAAGCCACGGCUAACUACGUGCCAGCAGCCGCCGUAA
This 467-nucleotide ribosomal RNA is filed under the name uncultured bacterium. Its description in RNAcentral is "partial 16S ribosomal RNA". It matches the Rfam family "Bacterial small subunit ribosomal RNA", at positions 28 to 523 of the family's 1533-position model. The record is from RNAcentral.